This 156-nucleotide ribosomal RNA is filed under the name uncultured bacterium. RNAcentral describes it as "partial 16S ribosomal RNA". It matches the Rfam family "Bacterial small subunit ribosomal RNA", at positions 196 to 353 of the family's 1533-position model. The record is from RNAcentral.
CGUGUGAAAAACUCCGGUGGUAUGAGAUGGACCCGCGUCUGAUUAGCUAGUUGGUGGGGUAACGGCCUACCAAGGCACGAUCAGUAGCCGACCUGAGAGGGUGACCGGCCACAUUGGGACUGAGACACGGCCCAAACUCCUACGGGAGGCAGCAUG